Molecule: ribosomal RNA, 450 nt
Filed under: uncultured bacterium
Lineage: Bacteria
Description: partial 16S ribosomal RNA
Rfam family: Bacterial small subunit ribosomal RNA
Source: RNAcentral
CCUACGGGAGGCUGCAGUGAGGAAUAUUGGUCAAUGGACGCAAGUCUGAACCAGCCAUGCCGCGUGAAGGAAGAAGGCCCUAAGGGUUGUAAACUUCUUUUGUACGGGGGUAAUUUUUGGAUCGUGAUCUGAAUUGAAAGUACUGUACGAAUAAGCGUCGGCUAACUACGUGCCAUCAGCCGCGGUAAUACGUAGGACGCCAGCGUCAUCCGGAUUCAUUGGUUUUAAGGGGUGCCUUUAAGUCAGUGGUGAAAGUUUGCCGCUUAACGGUAAGAUUGCCAUUGAUACUGGAGGCCUUGAGUGCAACUGAGGUAGGCGGAAUGUGUAGUGUAGUGGUGAAAUACUUAGAUAUUACACAGAACACCGAUUGCGAAGGCAGCUUACUAAAAUGCAACUGACGCUGAGGCACGAAAGCGUGGGGAUCAAACAGGAUUAGAUACCCCAGUAGUC